GACGAACGCUGGCGGCGUGCUUAACACAUGCAAGUCGAGCGGUAAGGCCCUUUCGGGGGUACGACGAGCGGCGAACGGGUGAGUAACACGUGGGUGACCUGCCCUUAGCUCUGGGAUAAGCCUGGGAAACUGGGUCUAAUACCGGAUAUGACUCCAUGACGCAUGUUGUGGGGUGGAAAGCCUUGUGCGGCUAGGGAUGGGCCCGCGGCCUAUCAGCUUGUUGGUGGGGUGAUGGCCUACCAAGGCGACGACGGGUAGCCGGCCUGAGAGGGCGACCGGCCACACUGGGACUGAGACACGGCCCAGACUCCUACGGGAGGCAGCAGUGGGGAAUCUUGCGCAAUGGGCGAAAGCCUGACCCAGCAACGCCGCGUGAAGGAUGAAAUCCCUCGGGAUGUAAACUCGCAAGAACGGGAAGAAUAAGUAGGGGACAAUACCCCCUAUGAUGACGGUACCGUUUGUAAGCUCCGGCUAACUCCGUGCCAGCAGCCGCU
Molecule: ribosomal RNA, 494 nt
Filed under: uncultured bacterium
Lineage: Bacteria
Description: bacterial SSU rRNA
Rfam family: Bacterial small subunit ribosomal RNA
Source: RNAcentral